UGUAGUUUAUUUGAUAGUACCCUGCUACUCGGAUAACCGUUGCAAAUCAAGGGAUAAUACGUGCGAAAAUGCUCAUUACGAGCUGUGCUUAUUCGAUCAAAAGCCAAUGUCUUAGGACACAAGGUGAAUCAGAAUAAUCUCGCGAAUCGCAUGCCCUAGUGGCGGCGAUGAAUCAUUCAAACUUCUGCCCUAUCAACUUGACACAUGGGUAGUGUCCAUGUGUGGUUGCGACGGGUACGGGGAAUUUGGGUUCGAUUCCGGAGAAGGAGCCUGAGAGACGGCUGCUACA
This 289-nucleotide ribosomal RNA is filed under the name uncultured eukaryote. RNAcentral describes it as "partial 18S rRNA". It matches the Rfam family "Eukaryotic small subunit ribosomal RNA", at positions 111 to 414 of the family's 1831-position model. The record is from RNAcentral.